Molecule: transfer RNA, 74 nt
Filed under: Clostridiales bacterium
Lineage: Bacteria; Bacillati; Bacillota; Clostridia; Eubacteriales
Also listed under: 2 other names
Description: tRNA-Gln
Rfam family: tRNA
About the family: Transfer RNA (tRNA) molecules are approximately 80 nucleotides in length. Their secondary structure includes four short double-helical elements and three loops (D, anti-codon, and T loops).
Source: RNAcentral
UGCGGGAUUGUGUAACGGUAGCACAUGCGGCUCUGACCCGCACAGUCUAGGUUCGAACCCUAGUCCCGCAGCCA